GAUGAACGCUGGCGGCGUGCUUAACACAUGCAAGUCGAACGAAACACCUUAUUUGAUUUUCUUCGGAACUGAAGAUUUGGUGAUUGAGUGGCGGACGGGUGAGUAACGCGUGGGUAACCUGCCCUGUACAGGGGGAUAACAGUCAGAAAUGACUGCUAAUACCGCAUAAGACCACAGCACCGCAUGGUGCAGGGGUAAAAACUCCGGUGGUACAGGAUGGACCCGCGGCUGAUUAGCUGGUUGGUGAGGUAACGGCUCACCAAGGCGACGAUCAGUAGCCGGCUUGAGUGAGUGAGCGGCCACACUGGGACUGCGACACGGCCCCAACUCCUACGGGAGGCAGCAGUGGGUAAUAUUGCACAAUGGGGGAAACCCUGAUGCAGCGCCGCCGCGUGAGUGAAGAAGUAUUUCGGUAUGUAAAGCUCUAUCAGCAGGGAAGAAAAUGACGGUACCUGACUAAGAAGCCCCGGCUAACUACGUG
Molecule: ribosomal RNA, 481 nt
Filed under: uncultured bacterium
Lineage: Bacteria
Description: partial 16S ribosomal RNA
Rfam family: Bacterial small subunit ribosomal RNA
Source: RNAcentral